AUGAACGCUGGCGGCGUGCCUAAUACCUGCAAGUCGCGCGAACGGACGAGAAGCUUGCUUCUCUGAUGUUAGCGGCGGACGGGUGAGUAACACGUGGAUAACCUACCUAUAAGACUGGGAUAACUUCGGGAAACCGGAGCUAAUACCGGAUAAUAUUUUGAACCGCAUGGUUCAAAAGUGAAAGACGGUCUUGCUGUCACUUAUAGAUGGAUCCGCGCUGCAUUAGCUAGUUGGUAAGGUAACGGCUUACCAAGGCAACGAUGCAUAGCCGACCUGAGAGGGUGAUCGGCCACACUGGAACUGAGACACGGUCCAGACUCCUACGGGAGGCAGCAGUAGGGAAUCUUCCGCAAUGGGCGAAAGCCUGACGGAGCAACGCCGCGUGAGUGAUGAAGGUCCUCGGAUCGUAAAACUCUGUUAUUAGGGAAGAACAUAUGUGUAAGUAACUGUGCACAUCUUGACGGUACCUAAUCAGAAAGCCACGGCUAACUACGUG
Molecule: ribosomal RNA, 496 nt
Filed under: uncultured bacterium
Lineage: Bacteria
Description: partial 16S ribosomal RNA
Rfam family: Bacterial small subunit ribosomal RNA
Source: RNAcentral